CACCUGCAGAAACACUGGAACUCAUUGCUGUUAACCAAGUAGUCCAAAUGACAUUGCCUGACCACUCGGAUUUACAAAUGAUCCCUGAAUGGAAGAAGCAAUAUAUUAGCUAUGAGACCCUGAAGUCUAUGCUGAAAAAUGAAGAUAGACUUAACCUCGUUUGUUAUGGAAACAGUCAAAGAUCUGUGACAGAGGAAUUCUUCAAAAGCUGUGAGGAAGAGCUGAACAAGGUGAACCUCUUCUAUUCAGAGAAACUAUCAGAAGCUCACAACAGACUGGCGACAUUUGGGAUUGUAGCUCAGGACGUUUCUGGAUCCAAUCAAGGAGAUAAUCGAAUCAUCAGAAUUUCCGCACCUAUUAAAAGAAAAAACACCAGUAUAAAACAAAUCAAAAUGGCAGUUUGUGAGCUCUACCUGAGCCUG
Ctenopharyngodon idella (grass carp) is the source of this 422-nucleotide long non-coding RNA. RefSeq lists it as uncharacterized. The record is from RefSeq and is a predicted model, not a curated record. NCBI's taxonomy places the organism in Eukaryota, Metazoa, Chordata, Actinopteri, Cypriniformes, Xenocyprididae. The transcript is spliced from 4 exons.